RNAcentral lists this long non-coding RNA (2312 nucleotides) under Hordeum vulgare. Its description in RNAcentral is "long non-coding RNA (HVUL_LNC020081)". The record is from RNAcentral. Lineage: Eukaryota; Viridiplantae; Streptophyta; Magnoliopsida; Poales; Poaceae.
GGAGAUAAGAGAUUCAUACUACUCGGGGCACGUUAGCUUGUGUAUUGGGCCUCCAUGAUGGGCAGGAAGUGGGUAUGGGAAAGGCCCCUCUAAUGGAACUCCGUCACAUACACAUAGGCCAUAACCUUGUCUAGGAUGCCCUUCUAAAACAACUUAUUAUUUUAUUUCGUCUAAUUUUGCUCUUAAAAGACACAAAACAAGACAUGGACGAUCCUGACCAGGGUAGAUAUCCACCUUGAUCUCAUGCCAAUUUGGGUUGCAUGUCAUUGUGAAGAAGUGUCUAGCUUGUCAUACCUUCGCUCCAUGGCCAUAAUAUCCAUGUAGCGACGCCUCCGUUCCCAUGGACGACCCAUAAAUGACAUAGCCAACAUUGUAAGCUUUCUAACUGCGUUUGUCCCCCUCACUAGCAUGCAGGUUGUCCACCAAGCCUUGGUACAAGUGUGCCCUUAUCAUAUCUUGAUGAACCCAUAUAAAGUCAAAUCGCAAGUUCUUGAUCUUGAAAUACGUGUCAAUCGCUAAUUGCUAGAGAAGAAGACGCUUCCAUAGAUAAUAGGGUCGAAUAUCCUAGGGCGCAUCUGGAAUAUGUAGCAAUAGUAGUCCCGCACGGACACACAUAGUCUACCUCUAGAAGAUACAGAGAUAAUUAAAAAUGAGCUGUGUUGAAAACAAGAUAUCUUAUCGCAAAGCAUGGAAUGCACAUGUCAUAACUAAUUUGGAUACUAACCUACACUACUAUCUUUGUUUCAACCAAACACUGAAUGAGAGGACUGGUCAUUAUCACGAUGAGCUAGAUGAGUUGCACGAGACAUCGCAUCAUAGGGAACACCUUCCUUCGGGAUAUCCGUAUGCCACCCAAGUUUGCCUUUAGGGAAGAAUAGAGGGUAGGACAAUGCAUGAUAGUCUCCAUGAGAGGACUAUAUUCUACCAUGAUGUCGAGGAGGCGGUGAUUUGAGCGUGCGCUACCAGGGAAGUUGUACAAAUCAGCCACCGACAACCAAAUGGUCUUGGCAGAAGGACAAUUGAUAAUGAGCUGGAUCGGGGACCCCUCAUCCUGGUCAUAGAGGUAGCAGUAGUCUUUGAAGAUCUCAGUUUGCCAUCGCCACAGGAUCACACCUCUAAAUAAGGAGAAUGGGCUCAAUAUAAAAGGUCUCACACUCAAUUGAUCCAGGUCUGAACAUCCCCACCAAACAAAGAAGAGAGAAAAUAAUAAAUUAAUUCAAAAUAUUCAUGCUUUGCUACUAAUAAAAAUAGUAUAAUGUGUUUUGCGCCGAAAACAUUUAGGACCCAUUAGCGUUCUGCUCUACAUAUGCGAAUGAGAUAACUACGGAGUAAAAAUGGACAUCUUUUACCAUGUUUUACUGUACUUAUGAGACAUGACAGUAGUACAAGCGAAAGAAACGUCAUCGUUGUCAUGCAGUACUAUAAUUCGUAGUUGUAUAACGUCCGCACAAUAGUCUAGAAUAUUGUUGGCCAUAAUUGGCUACUUCAUUUCUUGAUAAAUCCAUGUUGUUUCGGGCACUACAAAAAAUCCAUAUAGGAGUAUGUAUUACCACUGGGCGUAGCAGCAACAUCAAGCAAUUUCCCCUUAAACGUAGUCAAUAUGUAUGGAAGUGUACUUGCCAAUAAGAAUGGAGUAUUUUGUGGCCAUAAAAAUUCAUGUCAAUAAAGUUUACAGAACCAGGCUUGGCGAUUUUACAAGUGGAUAUUCAAAGUCGUUCCCUAUCAUUCACAAAUUUCUAUCAUCACCCGCUUUCUCGCCAUUAAUUUACAUUCCUCGAAGAUACACCUUACAUCAAUAUGAGGAGUCACACGAGGUUGCUCGCGUUUUACUAUAGGCCAUGAUGUUAACAAGAGCAAUAUUGUAACAAAAAAUUACAAUAUGUCAAUCUUACUGUGCCUUGUCUUUUAUUUAGAAGGCUUACCUCAGCCCUCAAGGCACUGAGGAACAUUGGUUCGUCAUGAGAAAUUCACGCUAAAUUUUUUGAAGUCGGAAUUGUGUGGGAACAUUUACUACCGCGUUCUAACACCAGUGCAAGCGAAAGACUUUGUAUGUUCAAGCGAAAGACUUUGUAUCUCCGUUGAACGGAGAAAGUGGGAUAACACUUUCACCCAAUUUUGAUGUAUUGUCUUUACCGAGCCUAGUUCGGAUACCACGUUGAAUCCCUCUUCAAGAGUAUUGACCAUAUACAUGUUGUCAUCUUGUAACUCAUUUGGGCAGCCGCAUCUGUAGGAUUAACCAAAUGUGCCCGCCAUAAACAAUGUGGCAGCUUCACUAAAAGUCGUGGCAUCUCGUAUCAAUACACAAAGCCGGG